UUCAUGAUGUGUCCGUCUUCUGAACAAAGA
Molecule: non-coding RNA, 30 nt
Filed under: Mus musculus (house mouse)
Lineage: Eukaryota; Metazoa; Chordata; Mammalia; Rodentia; Muridae
Source: RNAcentral